UACGUAGGUGACAAGCGUUGUCCGGAUUUACUGGGCGUAAAGAGCGCGCAGGCGGUCGAUCAAGUCGAGUGUGAAAGCCCCCGGCUCAACUGGGGAGGGUCAUUCGAUACUGAUCGACUCGAAGGCAGGAGAGGGUAGUGGAAUUCCCGGUGUAGUGGUGAAAUGCGUAGAUAUCGGGAGGAACACCAGUGGCGAAGGCGAGUCCCUGGACAACACCUGACACUGAGGCACGAAAGCUAGGGGAGCAAACGGG
This 253-nucleotide ribosomal RNA is filed under the name uncultured bacterium. RNAcentral describes it as "partial 16S ribosomal RNA". It matches the Rfam family "Bacterial small subunit ribosomal RNA", at positions 524 to 776 of the family's 1533-position model. The record is from RNAcentral.